CUGUAUAUAUAUGCUGGUUUUGCCUUCCUUUCAGAUGCUGAUAUGACCCAUCGUCUGUGACUCCCUGAUAGCCCUCCUGUUUCACCACUUGUUGACUGGUUUUCAUUCACUCAUCUGGACUUUUAAAUAUUUAUCUGAACUGUUAAUUUUCUUGUGUAUAUGGGUGAAUGUGGAUUUUCACUGUUUCACACAAUAACAUUAUUCACAUCUGCACUAAUGUUUGUUUUAAAUGUUCCUUUAGGAAGUUGGACCUCAACACGCUUUCUGUAGCCAUCAAUAAUUUCUAUCCCAAUACCAGCUUCAUGUUUAAUCACUAUUCUAAUCAGCAGAAUUAAAAUGAGAGUAUUUAAGGACUCAAAUUUUUUGCAAAAUGUUUGGUACUUUGUAAUCUAUUCUAAAACCAGUUUUGGUGUUCUUUGAGGAUGUCUGUCCUGUUUCUGCUGUUAAUCUUGGAAUCUGCAAGAAUUUUGAGAAUGUGGCUGUAAAAUAGUUCCCAGGCUUAUGUAGACAUUCUUAGAUCUUCAGUGAAUUUCUUUCACUUUUCAACUUUUCUGGCUAUUAGCCAAUCAAAUGUGUGCUCUCAAACAAGUUACUACAUCCUCAACCUGGUCAGGAUGGAAUAUAUUCUAUGACCUUCAGCACCACUUAGUAAUACAAUGAGGAUUUUCACUGACUGGUUAAAGUCAGUUAAAAAAACUAAAAAGAGGAGGUCUUAUCAGCUGAUCCUGCACAGCUGAUUACACAGAGCAAAUUCAGGCAGGAGUUUAUUGUAAAUCACAUGCUUGACAGGAAAUGAAAGCAAAAUCAUCAGAGCCUCAGCUGUCUGAGUCUGCAGACAACAUCCAAGAUCGACAACGAUUUUAUGUUUUGUUUUCACAUCCUGCCAGGCCUUUGUGAGCCAUCAUCAGGAUCUUUGUAAAGGCUUGUGUUUGCUGAAACUUGUCACCGGUUCCAUUGUCAGACAUGGCAGCUGCUGGGCUCUCUGAGGAUCAUCCACUCUGCUGCAUCUGCCUGGAUGUGUUCACCCGGCCGGUGGCUCUGCCGUGUCAGCACCACUUCUGCUGGACCUGCAUCACCAAACACUGGGACAACGCUGACAGAUGGCAGUGUCCCCUGUGUAACAGGGGCUUCACCAGCAGACCAGAGCUUCAGGUUAACACAAGAAUGUCUAAACUAAGUGAUCAGUUGGAGCUGCCGGCUCAGCAGACUGCCUGCUGCAGCUUGGAACCACGGCCUGAUGCAGGACAGGUUGUGUGUUGCGUCUGCUCCGAGGAGGCCCAGAUGUCCUGCCUGGUGUGUCUCAGCUCCUACUGCGAGACCCAUCAGGUUUUCCAUCAGAGGAUCCCAGGCCUGAGGAGACACACUCUGCUGGACCCUGUGGACGGACUGGAGGACAAAAUGUGCAACAAGUAUCAAAAAGCUUCAGAGAAGCUUAUGUGCCAUCGUGGCCUUUUUGUGUUGCUUGCAUGUUUUAUUUUAAUAAUUGCUGUUUGUUAUUUUGUAUUUAUUUAAUUUUGUUGUUUUUACUGAACUAUUUGGAUUCAUCUGGGUUUGUUGAUUAACUUCUUUUUUUUGCAUAUUUUUCUGUCCACCGUCCAGAAGCUCCCUGCCUCUCCGGAGACAGAAACUUGCCAUGAUGUUCGUCAUUCACUCCAAUUUUUAUCUUAUGGAAAACUGUUAGCCUCGCGGAAAGUGCUCUUUAAUUUAAUUUUUAGAAGGUUAAGUUUUGAUUCUGCUGAGCAGGUUAGACCACUAGAGGGCAGGAUGUUCUUGGGAAUCUUUUAAACUAUAAAUUAUGUAUAAUAUGAGCAGCCUUGCAAUUCUUUUACAUUUAUAAACUUAAACUAUUUUCUAGCUGGUUACUGAUAUGAUCUAGUACCUCACAGCAACAAGAGGCCAAAUCAGGAGAAGUAGUGUGUUACGUCUGCGCUGAAACCAAAUCAAAAUCUAGGAAGUGUGUGUGUACUUCAGGGACAAAAGAAAA
This is a long non-coding RNA of Xiphophorus couchianus (Monterrey platyfish), 1984 nucleotides long. RefSeq lists it as uncharacterized. The transcript is spliced from 2 exons. Lineage: Eukaryota; Metazoa; Chordata; Actinopteri; Cyprinodontiformes; Poeciliidae. The record is from RefSeq and is a predicted model, not a curated record.